UUCCCCUCUGUGUAUGACAUCACUGCUGGACAAAGCGGCAAGGAGUGGUUUGUCUCUGUGAAGAGAGGAGCGUCCCAAAUCAAUGGGACAUACCCACGCACUAUAAAAACAUCCUUCAGCGUUAUCUAGCGUUGUCACAGUUAGUUCUAUCGGCGGUAGCAGUUUUCAAAGUGCUUUGCUGUUGUGAGAGGAAUGAGCGACUCCUGAAAACCACAUCGGCAGAGCUGUUCAGAGAAAGGAGUAAAACUGUUGCUGGAUGGUUGCUGGUCUGAAAGUUUCGUCCUCCUGACAUGCGCUGUGUCUGAAGAAGUUGACCCGCAGUUUGAAUCCAGCUUGGAAGACCAUGCUGUCCCUCCUGCUGCCUGCCAUGCUGGCCGUUCAAGCUAUGGCUAUGAUGGAAGUGUUCGUCCCAGAGCAGCCAGUGGUGGCGCUGCACAGCAGGGACGCCAUUCUCAACUGCUCCUUCAGCCCCGCUGGUCCCUUCAACCUGUCUGAUCUGAGCGUCUUCUGGCAGCUGACAGACACCAAACGCAGUGUGCAUGGGUACCAGGAGGGACACAACCAGCUGGCAGACCAAGCAGAAAGGUUUGCCAACCGUACCAGCCUGUUCCCCGCCCAGCUGGGCCUGGGCAACACUUCACUCCUGCUGAGCAGGGUGGUGGUGGCUGACGAAGGCAGCUAUACCUGCUUCGUCAGGGUGCAGGACUACGGCAGUGCUGCUCUGCUGCUGCAGGUGGCCGCACCCUACUCCAAACCUGUCGUGACUUUAGAGCCUGAAUCCAAUCUGCGGCCAGGUGAUGAGGUGGCCCUGACCUGUGUGGCCUAUGGUGGAUAUCCGGAAGCAGACGUGAUUUGGCAGGAUGGGGGCGGGCGCAACCUGACAGACAACAUCACCAAUUCUUUGGUGGCCAAUGAGGAGGGGUUGUUCACCAUGACUAGCGUGCUGAAAGUUAUGCUGGAGCCUAACAGCACCUACAGCUGCAAACUGAUCAACCCUCUACUGGGUGAGGAAGGGUACGCCUCAGUCACAAUCACAGGUCAGAACAUCGCGUUCCCCCCGGUGGCUCUGUGGGUAACUAUUGGCCUGGCUGUGUGUCUACUGGUGCUGCUCAUUGCCCUGGCUGCUGUCUGCCGCAGGAAGAUCAAGGAGAGCUGCGAGGAAGCUAGGAGAGAAGCUGAAGAGGCAAGGAGCUGGAAGAAGAGGAGUCAAAGACAGCCAUGACACUGCUGAACAGCUAAGGCCAGGAGAUUCAAGUAUUGCUCUAAGGACACAGUGGUCUCCAGAGGCUCUGGGAGCCGGGGCCAGGCGACCGGUAGGAGAUGAGUCUGGCGCGUAUAAUCCCACUCCACCUAUCCAUCAACCUGGAGACUAUUUCCAGCAUCCCCCUACAGAAUGUCAAAGCCUUGCUGAGUGGAAGAUGAGUCCAUCAUCUCCUUUCUAAGACUUUCCCUCGAGUUUUCAUCAAAAACACAUAAACACAUCAUGUGCCAUUAUUUCCUAUCGCCCUCCCUCCCUCUCUUUUUAUUUUUUUUGUCUGUCAACGGAAGGGAGAGGGGGGGCAGUGAGUGAAUGCAGUAGAGUGCAGUAUGCAGAAGAGGAGCUGCGUUUGAAACAUACAGGAUGUGACAGGAUCCUUUCACUGUCGCUGACAUCACUCUGCAUGGGUUGUGAUGGGGCGUGUACCAGAGAUCGCCUGUCUAAUAGGAAGUGAGACACUUAAAGAGAUGACCCUGCUUUAGUUGCCAUCAGCAUCUCUCUGCCAGGGAGAGAGAGAGAGAGAGACGGAGAUUCUGGCUCUCCUAUUACUCCCGCACUUGCUAAUUAGCGUCUGUCGGCGGAGUAACUUGUACCUGUCAGUGUGUGCCGCUCUCCUAUACUCACUAACUUGAGGGGAUUGAAAUUGAAUGCCAGCUAAGCUCCAACAAACUGCAAAUGGUGCAUGGGAUACACCCUGAUUUCCUCACUGACCUGACAGCCUUAUAUGUAAGAAAUUGUUUCUAAUGAAUGAGGACUAUCUCAGCUCUUUUCUUCUUCUUUUUUUUAACACUCAUGUGGAAUGUUGUAUCACAUAAUGCUCGGGGCUGUACAGGUUGUUUCAUUGCUUUUUUUUAUAGGUACUCGAGCAAGUCCCCAUGCCCUAUGUCCAUGUAUGAAUGCCAAAGCCGUUUUGUGUCAGAUAACCCAGUGCCAAUUUACAUUAAAGGGACAUGGUGAAACUG
Notolabrus celidotus (New Zealand spotty) is the source of this 2220-nucleotide RNA transcript. It is a transcript of the gene named CD276 molecule, with no coding region annotated. The record is from RefSeq and is a predicted model, not a curated record. Lineage: Eukaryota; Metazoa; Chordata; Actinopteri; Labriformes; Labridae. The transcript has 9 exons.